GACGAACGCUGGCGGCGUGGAUUAGGCAUGCAAGUCGAACGGUAGGAUACCUUCGGGUAUCUGAGAGUGGCGAACGGGUGAGUAACACGUAGGUGAUCUACCCUCAAGAUUGGGACAACCCAGGGAAACUUGGGCUAAUACCGGAUGAAAGCAGCAGUGAUGUUGUUUGAAAGGUGGCGUAAGCUGCCGUUUGGGGAUGAGCCUGCGCUCUAUUAGUUAGUUGGCGGGGUAAAGGCCCACCAAGGCGAUGAUAGAUAGGCGGCCUUAACGGGUGGUCGCCCACACUGGGAUUGAGAUACGGCCCAGACUCCUACGGGAGGCAGCAGUCGAGAAUAGUCUACAAUGGCCGAAAGGCUGAUAGUGCGACGCCGCGUGAACGAAGAAGCCUCGGGUGUAAGUUCUUUAUAUGUGAGCAGUGCUUUCUAUGUGAACAGCAUGGGGAGAGAGAUAUUAGCAUAUGAAUAAGCAACGGCUAACUCCGUGCCAGCAGCCG
RNAcentral lists this ribosomal RNA (493 nucleotides) under uncultured bacterium. RNAcentral's name for it is "bacterial SSU rRNA". It matches the Rfam family "Bacterial small subunit ribosomal RNA", at positions 28 to 517 of the family's 1533-position model. The record is from RNAcentral.